RNAcentral lists this non-coding RNA (96 nucleotides) under unclassified sequences. Its description in RNAcentral is "wcaG RNA". It matches the Rfam family "wcaG RNA". The record is from RNAcentral.
UGGAGUUUCCAGUUUCUCUCAAAAACUGGUGGUGCGGAUGGGGCAACCCCGCCCAGUUUCUUGCUUCUGGAUAAAGAGCAAGUGGCGAGCCUGAAA